GAAAUACUGUGAUUUUCUUUGGGAACCUGGACUGUUCUCUGCCCACGCCGGAGCUGAGUCUAAGAGAAAAGCACACACUGCCCU
Molecule: microRNA precursor, 84 nt
Filed under: Eptesicus fuscus (big brown bat)
Lineage: Eukaryota; Metazoa; Chordata; Mammalia; Chiroptera; Vespertilionidae
Description: microRNA efu-mir-9317 precursor
Source: miRBase by way of RNAcentral